This 659-nucleotide long non-coding RNA is filed under the name Eutrema salsugineum. Its description in RNAcentral is "long non-coding RNA (ESAL_LNC001426)". The record is from RNAcentral. Lineage: Eukaryota; Viridiplantae; Streptophyta; Magnoliopsida; Brassicales; Brassicaceae.
GCUGGUGCCGGCGUUAAUCCAACGUCGGUACCGUGCUAUAUAUGUUUUCCGGAUCGUUGUAUAGUAUUGUUUGGUUUUAAGUUUCCGGUUUUUCCGGAUCUUUUGUUUCCAUUAAUCGGAUAGUAAUCUCCGGCGUAAACCGGUAAUAAAUUCCGACUUGUUCGAAUUUAUUUUUUAGUUUCCUCCUUUUGCUUGUUUUAUUUGAAUUCCGAAAGAGUUAGUUGUGUGUUGUUUCAUUGGUGCUUGUUUCUUCCUCCACGGUGUGUAAAUCCUCGUUCUCCUUGAAGGAAUAUUGAGCGAUGGUUCUUCAUGGAUGAGAAAUUAACAAGAUGAAGCAGCUGUUUGGUGAGGAGUAUGACGAAUUAGAGUUUGUCGUCGUGUUUUGAUGCUUCUCUAAUGAAUAUUACGCAAUCGAUCAAGCUGAGGAAAAUUUCCGAUGGAUCAAGUUUUAGUUUACUAGACAUCUUCCGGCGAAAUCGCAAAAGGAGUCAAGUCGGUACCAACCACUACGAGCUUCAAAGAAGAAGAAAAGAAGAUUUGUAAAAUAUUACCGGCGUUGAAAUUCCCGGCGGUGAACGUUCCCGGCGAGAGAUGUAUCACAGCGGUGAUACGUGUAAGAUGGAGCUUCUGAUCUAUCUGCUAAGGUGGCCACGUGGAGA